CAUGUAGGAAAUCAAAAGUUGAACAAACUUCUUUUAUUUAACUUCUCCGCCAAUAAAGAAUCCUAAUCCAACAUCGAGGUCGCAAACUAUUUUAUCAAUAUGAACUAUCCAAAAUUAUUACGCUGUUAUCCCUAGAGUAUUUUUUUCAUUUAAUCGCUAAAAACGGAACCUAUUAAAAAAAAUUAAAUAUAAAAAGAUAAACAUUCUUUUCCCGUCGCCCCAACCAAAUUUAAUUUUUUAAUAUUAAAUCAAAAUUAAAUCAAAAUUCAUAGGGUCUUCUUGUCCCUAAUUCUUAUUUUUGCUUCUUCACAAAAAAAUUAAAUUUAAUUAUUUAAUUAAAGAAAGCUCUUAAUUGUUCAACCAUUCUCUUAGCACUCAUUUAAAAUCUUAUUUCAAUACCUUCGCAUAGUCAAAAUACCACGGCAAUUUAAAAAAUUCCAUUGAGCAGAUCAUACAUCUUAUUAAUGUUUCAAGAUGAAAUGUUUUUGU
This 489-nucleotide ribosomal RNA is filed under the name Ixodes nuttallianus. RNAcentral's name for it is "partial 16S ribosomal RNA". Lineage: Eukaryota; Metazoa; Arthropoda; Arachnida; Ixodida; Ixodidae. The record is from RNAcentral.